RNAcentral lists this transfer RNA (68 nucleotides) under Colistium nudipinnis (New Zealand turbot). RNAcentral's name for it is "tRNA-Phe". It matches the Rfam family "tRNA". Rfam says of the family: Transfer RNA (tRNA) molecules are approximately 80 nucleotides in length. Their secondary structure includes four short double-helical elements and three loops (D, anti-codon, and T loops). Further hydrogen bonds mediate the characteristic L-shaped molecular structure. tRNAs have two regions of fundamental functional importance: the anti-codon, which is responsible for specific mRNA codon recognition, and the 3' end, to which the tRNAs corresponding amino acid is attached (by aminoacyl-tRNA synthetases). tRNAs cope with the degeneracy of the genetic code in two manners: having more than one tRNA (with a specific anti-codon) for a particular amino acid; and 'wobble' base-pairing, i.e. permitting non-standard base-pairing at the 3rd anti-codon position. Lineage: Eukaryota; Metazoa; Chordata; Actinopteri; Pleuronectiformes; Rhombosoleidae. The record is from RNAcentral.
GCCACCGUAGCUUAACUAAAGCAUAACACUGAAGAUGUUAAGAUAGACCCUAGAAAGUCUCGGGGGCA